UACGUAGGGUGCGAGCGUUGUCCGGAAUUAUUGGGCGUAAAGAGCUCGUAGGCGGUUUGCUGCGCCUGCUGUGAAAACCUGGGGCUUAACUUCGGGAUUGCAGUGGGUACGGGCAGACUAGAGUGUGGUAGGGGUAAUUGGAAUUCCUGGUGUAGCGGUGGAAUGCGCAGAUAUCAGGAGGAACACCGAUGGCGAAGGCAGGUCUCUGGGAAGUUACUGACGCUGAGGAGCGAAAGCAUGGGUAGCGAACAGGAUUAGAUACCCCCGUAGU
Molecule: ribosomal RNA, 271 nt
Filed under: uncultured prokaryote
Description: partial 16S ribosomal RNA
Rfam family: Bacterial small subunit ribosomal RNA
Source: RNAcentral